GACGAACGCUGGCGGCGUGCCUAAUACAUGCAAGUAGACCGCAGUUGCGAACGGGUGAGUAACGCGUAGGUACCUGCCUCAUAGCGGGGGAUAACUAUUGGAAACGAUAGCUAAUACCGCAUACUGUGAAAUGCACCCGCGUGGUAUUAGCUAGUUGGUGGGGUAAAGGCCCACCAAGGCGACGAUACAUAGCCGACCUGAGAGGGCGAUACGUCAAACGGGGACUGGGACACGGCCCAGACUCCUACGGGAGGCAGCAGUAGGGAACCGUCGGCAAUGGACGGAAGUCUGACCGAGCGUCGCCGCGUGAGUGAAGAAGGUUUUCGGAUCGGAAAGCUCGCUUGUUAGACAAGCGGUAACUAACCCGAAAGGGACGGCUAACUACGUGUCAGCAGCCGCGGUAAUAC
Molecule: ribosomal RNA, 407 nt
Filed under: uncultured bacterium
Lineage: Bacteria
Description: partial 16S ribosomal RNA
Rfam family: Bacterial small subunit ribosomal RNA
Source: RNAcentral